This 395-nucleotide ribosomal RNA is filed under the name uncultured bacterium. Its description in RNAcentral is "partial 16S ribosomal RNA". It matches the Rfam family "Bacterial small subunit ribosomal RNA", at positions 523 to 918 of the family's 1533-position model. The record is from RNAcentral.
CUACGUAGGGUGCGAGCGUUAAUCGGAAUUACUGGGCGUAAAGCGUGCGCAGGCGGUUAUAUAAGACAGAUGUGAAAUCCCCCGGCUCAACCUGGGACCUGCAUAUGUGACUGUAUAGCUAGAGUACGGUAGAGGGGGAUGGAAUUCCGCGUGUAGCAGUGAAAUGCGUAGAUAUGCGGAGGAACACCGAUGGCGAAGGCAAUCCCCUGGACCUGUACUGACGCUCAUGCACGAAAGCGUGGGGAGCAAACAGGAUUAGAUACCCUGGUAGUCCACGCCCUAAACGAUGUCAACUGGUUGGUGGGUCUUCACUGACUCAGUAACGAAGCUAACGCGUGAAGUUGACCGCCUGGGGAGUACGGCCGCAAGGUUGAAACUCAAAUGAAUUGACGGGG